AUGACGCUACCCCAAUCCUCAGCCGAACUGCCCCGCGGCACCCUCCCGGGCACUCUCCCCGCCGCCCGCACAACGCCCUCAUCGGCGCGCUCUUCGCCAGAGCAGCCCGGAGCGGCGUGCACUGGAAGCCGGAGCCGGGAAGGAGUGCGGCCACCGCCGGGAGGCAAGGGGAGGCGUGGUCGCGCUCUUUCCGGUCGGCCAUGGAGGCCGCGCGCAAGCCCGCGUUGCGGCAGCGCCCGCUCCCCCUCACCUCUCCGGCCGCACCGGUCUCCUCCCAAAGGACGAAGUGGGCGCAUGUGUGGCGGCCGGAGAGGGAACGAGGCUGCGCGCAAGCCCGCGGCGUGGCGGCGCGGAUCCCUCUUCCCCCUGCCGGUUUGA
Molecule: ribosomal RNA, 378 nt
Filed under: Triticum aestivum (bread wheat)
Lineage: Eukaryota; Viridiplantae; Streptophyta; Magnoliopsida; Poales; Poaceae
Description: partial small subunit ribosomal RNA
Source: RNAcentral